GUACAUCCCUCAAGUUUCAACAAUAUUCCACCAUUGUUGAAUUAAACAAAUCCUCUAUAUUUCUUUGUUGUCUUCUUCUAAAAUUUCGUUUUCCAAUCUUCUAAAAUUUCGUUUUCCAAUUGGGUUGAGUUCUUGUAGUAGAAGAAAUCAAAGAGUGCAAUUUUGAUUUCCAGAGUAGGCAUUGUAUCCUGGGAAUGGACUUUUCCGUUAACCACUUGCACAGUGUGAGGGAAAUUACUAUCCUAAAGAUAAUUUCCUGGAAGCGUCUUGUCUAUCCGUUCCGUGUUUUGUUUUCCAUUGAAUUCUCUUUCAUGAUUUCACUCUUUAAUUUGGUUCUUAAAUUUGUCUCGCAUAAAGUUACUCCAUUAUUGUAUUCUUUUGAAUAUUCUACAACAAUUUUAGGAUAGUAAGUUUUCCGUUAUAAUGGAGUCUUCUUUGUUGUGCGAGAAACAAAAAUCAAUUGUGGAGAUGCGGGGUAUUAAGAGUUCAUGAUUUUUCAUUAGUGUCUCUCUGGGUAAUGGCUGUUUUGGCAUCAAACAAAGGCAUGGACAAGCACCUCUCGCGAAAGAGAAAUUAGUUUUUUUCUCUAAAUCCAAAGGAUUAGCAAACUUGAAGUUAUUCAGACGUUUCCAACCAAAUAAAUACAGAGAGAGAACUUUGGGUGACAUUCUUUUUUACUUAUCACUGAAAUCUCUUCGCUGCUUAUAUCAAGGAGAUUCUCAUCGAAAUCAAUUAAAAGAGAUAUAUUUCAAAUGUUGAAGAACAAAGCAGUCAACCACGACAAAAGAGAUGAAUGUUUUAAUAGCAAUUCAGGGUUGAUGGGUUCGCAGGAGAGUGGUUCUUCAGGAAUUACUGAUAUUGGGAAUCAGCCCAUUAAAGGCAGUGAUAAUUGGUGGCUACAAUUGGGAGCAGAAAAAAAAAAACACUUCAGAUUUUACCGGGGCUUAUAAUCAACAAUCCUGGUUGGAUUGAAAGAAAUAAAAUGGCGUGUACUAACCACCUUGACGACAAAGUCGAAGUGGAUUCAAUGUUUCAACAAUAAUGAAAAUACCGUCAAUUACUAAAAAACAUUCGUGGCGAGAUCGCAGCACGCUGUAACGUUAUAAGUUACGAUCAAAAUCGGGAUCGUGGGAAGCCCGAAUCAUAGGUUGGAUUUAGCUUGAGUUUGGAUCGUAUUGGAGAGCGUUUGAGGUACGGACGCACAGCCUGGUGAUCCACCUGUUUAGGACACCCGUUCUGCUAUUCGGAGUGCUCCUCUCUUUCCGGAGCUUAUACUUUUGGUAUAUAUAUUUUUUAGUGCAUUUGUAUAUAUUUGUUCAUGGGUACGGCGGGGCCCUGUCCCGUCAUAUGAUUCUGUCGGUCUGUUUAGAGGUCUGUGGACAUGUUUGUGGGUUAGGGUCUUUCUGUAUGAAUAGGUGUAUAUGUUGUUUGGGCGAUCCCAUACGCCGAGGAGGCCGGUCCGCAUAUGUUUAUACAUUGCUUUGCUAGCCCUGUGUGGCCUUUGUUGGUGUUUGCUGUGUACAGAGUUAUUUUGGAUAGUCUGUAAAACAGAGGAAACUCUGCCGAAAUUUUUCUGGGAAUUGUC
Lycium barbarum (goji berry) is the source of this 1585-nucleotide long non-coding RNA. RefSeq lists it as uncharacterized. The transcript is spliced from 3 exons. The record is from RefSeq and is a predicted model, not a curated record. Lineage: Eukaryota; Viridiplantae; Streptophyta; Magnoliopsida; Solanales; Solanaceae.